UGGGGAAUUUUGGACAAUGGGCGCAAGCCUGAUCCAGCCAUGCCGCGUGCGGGAAGAAGGCCUUCGGGUUGUAAACCGCUUUUGUCAGGGAAGAAACGCUCUGGGCUAAUACCCCGGGGUAAUGACGGUACCUGAAGAAUAAGCACCGGCUAACUACGUGCCAGCAGCCGCGGUAAUACGUAGGGUGCAAGCGUUAAUCGGAAUUACUGGGCGUAAAGGGCUCGUAGGUGGCCAACUAAGUCAGACGUGAAAUCCCUCGGCUUAACCGGGGAACUGCGUCUGAUACUGGAUGGCUGGAGUCCGGGAGAGGGAUGCGGAAUUCCAGGUGUAGCGGUGAAAUGCGUAGAUAUCUGGAGGAACACCGGUGGCGAAGGCGGCAUCCUGGGCCAGCACUGACACUCAUGCACGAAAGCGUGGGGAGCAAACAGGAUUAGAUACCCCCGUAGUCCCUGAGCGGGCUGGCAAGGCGCAU
Molecule: ribosomal RNA, 472 nt
Filed under: uncultured bacterium
Lineage: Bacteria
Description: bacterial SSU rRNA
Rfam family: Bacterial small subunit ribosomal RNA
Source: RNAcentral